GGUUAAGCGACUAAGCGUACACGGUGGAUGCCCUGGCAGUCAGAGGCGAUGAAGGACGUGCUAAUCUGCGAUAAGCGUCGGUAAGGUGAUAUGAACCGUUAUAACCGGCGAUUUCCGAAUGGGGAAACCCAGUGUGAUUCGUCACACUAUCAUUAACUGAAUCCAUAGGUUAAUGAGGCGAACCGGGGGAACUGAAACAUCUAAGUACCCCGAGGAAAAGAAAUCAACCGAGAUUCCCCCAGUAGCGGCGAGCGAACGGGGAGCAGCCCAGAGCCUGAAUCAGUGUGUGUGUUAGUGGAAGCGUCUGGAAAGGCGCGCGAUACAGGGUGACAGCCCCGUACACAAAAAUGCACAUACUGUGAGCUCGAUGAGUAGGGCGGGACACGUGGUAUCCUGUCUGAAUAUGGGGGGACCAUCCUCCAAGGCUAAAUACUCCUGACUGACCGAUAGUGAACCAGUACCGUGAGGGAAAGGCGAAAAGAACCCCGGCGAGGGGAGUGAAAAAGAACCUGAAACCGUGUACGUACAAGCAGUGGGAGCACAGAGCAAUCUGUGUGACUGCGUACCUUUUGUAUAAUGGGUCAGCGACUUAUAUUCUGUAGCAAGGUUAACCGAAUAGGGGAGCCGAAGGGAAACCGAGUCUUAACUGGGCGUUAAGUUGCAGGGUAUAGACCCGAAACCCGGUGAUCUAGCCAUGGGCAGGUUGAAGGUUGGGUAACACUAACUGGAGGACCGAACCGACUAAUGUUGAAAAAUUAGCGGAUGACUUGUGGCUGGGGGUGAAAGGCCAAUCAAACCGGGAGAUAGCUGGUUCUCCCCGAAAGCUAUUUAGGUAGCGCCUCGUGAAUUCAUCUCCGGGGGUAGAGCACUGUUUCGGCAAGGGGGUCAUCCCGACUUACCAACCCGAUGCAAACUGCGAAUACCGGAGAAUGUUAUCACGGGAGACACACGGCGGGUGCUAACGUCCGUCGUGAAGAGGGAAACAACCCAGACCGCCAGCUAAGGUCCCAAAGUCAUGGUUAAGUGGGAAACGAUGUGGGAAGGCCCAGACAGCCAGGAUGUUGGCUUAGAAGCAGCCAUCAUUUAAAGAAAGCGUAAUAGCUCACUGGUCGAGUCGGCCUGCGCGGAAGAUGUAACGGGGCUAAACCAUGCACCGAAGCUGCGGCAGCGACGCUUAUGCGUUGUUGGGUAGGGGAGCGUUCUGUAAGCCUGUGAAGGUGUGCUGUGAGGCAUGCUGGAGGUAUCAGAAGUGCGAAUGCUGACAUAAGUAACGAUAAAGCGGGUGAAAAGCCCGCUCGCCGGAAGACCAAGGGUUCCUGUCCAACGUUAAUCGGGGCAGGGUGAGUCGACCCCUAAGGCGAGGCCGAAAGGCGUAGUCGAUGGGAAACAGGUUAAUAUUCCUGUACUUGGUGUUACUGCGAAGGGGGGACGGAGAAGGCUAUGUUGGCCGGGCGACGGUUGUCCCGGUUUAAGCGUGUAGGCUGGUUUUCCAGGCAAAUCCGGAAAAUCAAGGCUGAGGCGUGAUGACGAGGCACUACGGUGCUGAAGCAACAAAUGCCCUGCUUCCAGGAAAAGCCUCUAAGCAUCAGGUAACAUCAAAUCGUACCCCAAACCGACACAGGUGGUCAGGUAGAGAAUACCAAGGCGCUUGAGAGAACUCGGGUGAAGGAACUAGGCAAAAUGGUGCCGUAACUUCGGGAGAAGGCACGCUGAUAUGUAGGUGAAGUCCCUCGCGGAUGGAGCUGAAAUCAGUCGAAGAUACCAGCUGGCUGCAACUGUUUAUUAAAAACACAGCACUGUGCAAACACGAAAGUGGACGUAUACGGUGUGACGCCUGCCCGGUGCCGGAAGGUUAAUUGAUGGGGUCAGCGCAAGCGAAGCUCUUGAUCGAAGCCCCGGUAAACGGCGGCCGUAACUAUAACGGUCCUAAGGUAGCGAAAUUCCUUGUCGGGUAAGUUCCGACCUGCACGAAUGGCGUAAUGAUGGCCAGGCUGUCUCCACCCGAGACUCAGUGAAAUUGAACUCGCUGUGAAGAUGCAGUGUACCCGCGGCAAGACGGAAAGACCCCGUGAACCUUUACUAUAGCUUGACACUGAACAUUGAGCCUUGAUGUGUAGGAUAGGUGGGAGGCUUUGAAGUGUGGACGCCAGUCUGCAUGGAGCCGACCUUGAAAUACCACCCUUUAAUGUUUGAUGUUCUAACGUUGACCCGUAAUCCGGGUUGCGGACAGUGUCUGGUGGGUAGUUUGACUGGGGCGGUCUCCUCCUAAAGAGUAACGGAGGAGCACGAAGGUUGGCUAAUCCUGGUCGGACAUCAGGAGGUUAGUGCAAUGGCAUAAGCCAGCUUGACUGCGAGCGUGACGGCGCGAGCAGGUGCGAAAGCAGGUCAUAGUGAUCCGGUGGUUCUGAAUGGAAGGGCCAUCGCUCAACGGAUAAAAGGUACUCCGGGGAUAACAGGCUGAUACCGCCCAAGAGUUCAUAUCGACGGCGGUGUUUGGCACCUCGAUGUCGGCUCAUCACAUCCUGGGGCUGAAGUAGGUCCCAAGGGUAUGGCUGUUCGCCAUUUAAAGUGGUACGCGAGCUGGGUUUAGAACGUCGUGAGACAGUUCGGUCCCUAUCUGCCGUGGGCGCUGGAGAACUGAGGGGGGCUGCUCCUAGUACGAGAGGACCGGAGUGGACGCAUCACUGGUGUUCGGGUUGUCAUGCCAAUGGCACUGCCCGGUAGCUAAAUGCGGAAGAGAUAAGUGCUGAAAGCAUCUAAGCACGAAACUUGCCCCGAGAUGAGUUCUCCCUGACUCCUUGAGAGUCCUGAAGGAACGUUGAAGACGACGACGUUGAUAGGCCGGGUGUGUAAGCGCAGCGAUGCGUUGAGCUAACCGGUACUAAUGAACCGUGAGGCUUAACCUU
This 2906-nucleotide ribosomal RNA is filed under the name Escherichia coli. Its description in RNAcentral is "23S ribosomal RNA". It matches the Rfam family "Bacterial large subunit ribosomal RNA". The record is from RNAcentral. Lineage: Bacteria; Pseudomonadati; Pseudomonadota; Gammaproteobacteria; Enterobacterales; Enterobacteriaceae.